This 465-nucleotide ribosomal RNA is filed under the name uncultured bacterium. Its description in RNAcentral is "partial 16S ribosomal RNA". It matches the Rfam family "Bacterial small subunit ribosomal RNA", at positions 338 to 795 of the family's 1533-position model. The record is from RNAcentral.
CCUACGGGAGGCAGCAGUAGGGAAUUUUCGUCAAUGGGCGCAAGCCUGAACGAGCGAUGCCGCGUGAGUGAAGAAGGCCUUCGGGUCGUAAAGCUCUGUUGCGGGGGAAAAAAGGCAGCAUCAGGAAAUGGGUGCUGACUGAUGGUGCCCCGCCAGACAGUCACGGCUAACUACGUGCCAGCAGCCGCGGUAAUACGGAGGGUGCGAGCGUUAAUCGGAAUUACUGGGCGUAAAGCGCUCGUAGGCGGUAUGUCAAGUCAAGGGUGAAAUGCCCGCGCUCAACGUGGGAACUGCCUUUGAAACUGGCAAACUGGAGUGUGUGGGAGGAUAGUGGAAUUCCAGGUGUAGGAGUGAAAUCCGUAGAUAUCUGGAAGAACAUCGGUGGCGAAGGCGACUAUCUGGCACAUAACUGACGCUGAGGAGCGAAAGCGUGGGUAGCAAACAGGAUUAGAUACCCGAGUAGUC